Pan troglodytes (chimpanzee) is the source of this 2636-nucleotide long non-coding RNA. RefSeq lists it as uncharacterized. The record is from RefSeq and is a predicted model, not a curated record. NCBI's taxonomy places the organism in Eukaryota, Metazoa, Chordata, Mammalia, Primates, Hominidae. The transcript is spliced from 14 exons.
ACUAAGUCUUUAGAGGUUUUAAGAUUCAAACACUAUGUAAGAAGAAUUAUGGUUUGAACUACGUAACAAUUACCUAGACAUCUUUUGGACUUCAGUUAACCUGCAUUGAGAACAUAAUGGUGAGCAAAACUGACCAAGGCCCUACUCUCGUGGAAUUUAUACAGUCUCAUGGAAUAGAUGGAUACCAAUCAAAUAAUCACACAGCUGGUAGAAAUUAGAAGAACCGAAGGAAAUGACCUCUGACCUGAGAUCUAAAAGAUGUUUGGCUCUACAAAAUGGAUGGAUUUUAUCAGUUGACACUACAGAGAUCAAACAAGAAAUUAACUCUGCAAAAAGCGCUGUGGAGAACCUGGGUUUUAAUCUAGGGUUUUGCAAGUUCAUGCACCUGGCAGUGGCCUAAAGCGCAGAAGGACCAAACUGAGAGAUGGGGUUUUGCUAUGUUGCCCAGGCUGCUGGAUGGUUCUUUCUACCACACCAGGACACUUCCUCCAUUUCCUUCUUCCUUUGUGGUGUCAAGCACUGCAGUAGAUUCUGAAGAUACAAAAAUAAAUAAAACAUUCCUGCCCUCAAGACACUUACACUCUUAUGUGUAACACUGUGUGACCAUUCAUCUGGGCCUUCCUGAGACAGUCUUGGUUUACACCUGUUUUCCCAAUCAGAGCAUCACUGCCUUUCCCACUAUUCUCCUGCAGAAGAGCAGGGGAAGGAAGCACCAGGGUCCAUCAUGGAGGAAGGGUGUUGCCCUGAACAGCUGACACACCCUCGGCAAUGAGGCUUAGUUUUGCUGGAACUUUUCAGUUGUGACAACUGAGAUUCAGAGAUGUCCAAUCUACUCACAUAAAUAUUUCUAGCCCAUGACAGACUGACGUAUCUAAAAAUCAUAGAUUAGGUAAAGAAUGUGUGCAAAUUAAAAUCCAUGCACAGAAACCUACGUGAGAAGAAGGAGCGUUGUCAUCGCAGACGUUUAACCGGGCCUGGUUGAAGAUGGCUGAGCGUAAAACAGAAUGCAAGUCAGCUGGAGCACGUACUACUGGAGGCAGAGCCCCAUAAGAAGGGGCCAAGAACCCGCACCCACCAAAAUCAAGAAGAAAGGCUGAACCCGGAGAGAAAAGGGAGCACUGUUCACAGUAGCAAUGACAUGGAGUCAACGUAAAUGUCCAUCAAUGAUAGACUGGAUAAAGAAAAUGUGGUACAUAUACACCGUGGAAUACUAUGCAGCCAUAAAAAGGAAUGAGAUCAUGCCCUUUGCAGGGACAUGGAUGGAGCUGGAAGCUAUUAUCUUCAGCAAAAGAUUGCAGGAACAGAAAACCAAAUACUGGAUGUUCUCACGUCAACUGAUGUUGCCAUGCAGAUCCCUUGGUUGCUAUGAGAUGGUAACAUCACUCUGCCCCACCAUUGGCCAGUGCCUCCUCAGCUGCGGUGCCUCCCAGGCUGUGUGGUUCUCACGCGGGCCACUGACACAGAGCUGUUACUAUGGUGAACUUUACAAUUUCCUUUGAUUGGUGGAUUUCAGAAAUAGGCCAUCAGCGGAAUUCAUUAUAUUCAGCUAAGUAAAAAUGAAAAAUAAAUACUAUAGCUUUCCCCUCAUCACUAACAUGAAGGAAACGUGACCCUUCAUGACAUAAUAAAUCGCUGUUCGGUAACUUAGGAUCCUUCAGGGGACUGAAGCGGGAUGAUUCUCCUAUGCCAAAUUUGGGUGGGAAAGAUAUUCCCUGUAGCUUUGAGUCGACUCUUCAGAGUUAAGGGCAGUGGGCCAACCAGAGUUGGAACUUCAGAGUUGGGAGGAGGUGUGGGAUGGGGCAUGCAUUGAAAUGUAAACUCUAUUGUCUCUGAAGUGAUGGGUGAUGCUGGGGGCCUGAGUGUGGAGGGCAGUUUUACAUCUCAGGACAAUGUUUUCUCAGAUGCUCUUCCAGAAAGGAAAGCCAGGAGUACUCCUGGCUGGAGGCGGCAUGCCUGAGGUCAGAGUCAAAGUAGGGUUUGUGCUGUCUGAAUCCUUUCUCCCACUCUCCCCAGCCUGGCUCAGCUUCUCAGCUUCUCAGGUGGAUUGGUGAGUCCUGGCCAAUUAUGCUUCAGCUCAUCUCUACUCUCGGCAAAUAGGAAAAGGGAGUGAAGGACUGAGUUUUAACCCUUCUAAUUUCGUAACCUGACUCUCUAUAAGAAAAAGUAGGAGAAAGACUGAAGAACCCGAGAGAACAGGCCUCUGAGCCCAAGCCAAGCCAUCGCAUCCCCUGUGACUUGCACGUAUAUACGCCCAGAUGGCCUGAAGUAACUGAAGAAUCACAAAAGAAGUGAAUAUGCCUUGCCCCACCUUGACUGAUGACAUUCCACCACAAAAGAAGUGUAAAUGGCCGGUCCUUGCCUUAACUGAUGACAUUACCUUGUGAAAGUCCUUUUCCUGGCUCAUCCUGGCUCAAAAAGCACCCCCACUGAGCACCUUGCGACCCCCACUCCUGCCCACUGAGCACCUUGUGACCCCCACUCCUGUCCGCCAGAGAACAAACCCCCUUUGACUGUAAUUUUCCUUUGCCUACCCAAAUCCUAUAAAACGGCUCCACCCUUAUCUCCUUUUGCUGACUCUCUUUUCGGACUCAGCCCGCCUGCACCCAGGUGAUUAAAAGCUUUAUUGCUCACACAAA